RNAcentral lists this long non-coding RNA (214 nucleotides) under Homo sapiens (human). Its description in RNAcentral is "HSALNT0245735". The record is from RNAcentral. Lineage: Eukaryota; Metazoa; Chordata; Mammalia; Primates; Hominidae.
CUCAUUCAUGCACUAAAUAAGCCCCUAAUUAAUCUUGAACCUCGGAGAAAGGCGACUAGAUUGCCAUUUUCUCCGUAAGGACGCACUUCACAUUUUGGGAAGUUUGAAGAGGCUCUUCAGCAUUUUCCUUUAGUGGUAUUUUAUCAGCAUUUUAGAGAAGCUUCAUUAGGCUGCCGAAAGCUGCUAAUUGCAUUACCAUAUUUUUAAGCCUCAC